UGACCUUCAUCACAUCAGUUACAGAACAGGAAGAAUAAAGUCUCCACAGGCGACAGUCUCACCAGCAGAGCAUUCUGGGAGUUGUAGUAUAAGCUGUGAAUGAUCUUUCUACCAGUGGACCGGCUCUUAUAGACACUAUAAAUUAUCUCAUGGUCAUAUUUGUCCUGCAGGCCUGAGUCUGACCCCUCUGCUGUCAGGGGUCCAUUUUGACCUGUUUGGAUUCUGUUCUGACUCGGUUUAACUGCUCUGUCUGCAGAGUCUCAGAGCUGCUGGCUGUUAGUGGACUGACUGCAGCUCAUUAGCAGACGUCACAGUUCCUCUUUGACGGCUCAUGCUAAGGGAAUUACAUCAUGUUGAACAUAAAAAUAUAAACUAUAAAUAAAACUUGUCCUGUUUUAUGUUCUUCACAAUCAGACUCUGCAGCUGAAACAUGGCUCACUUUAGUUGAUCUGAGUGUUACAAGGUGAAUGAAUUAAAUGUAGUUUAAAUGCUUUUUCUGACUAAACUUUGUACAACUAGUUCCUUCUGUUUGUGGUUUUCUGUCAGUUUCUAAAAACACAAAAUGACAGAGUACGUGGUGGGUGUUGGUGUGAAGUUAUUUUCAUCCAUUAAUUCAGAGACAAAGAGGAAAUAACAUCAGUUCUUUCAGAUGUGCAGCAGAGAAAAGUCUCUCAGUGUUCAGCAGCUGAUAGAAGGACAGGAGAUGUUGGUUCUGGAACUGGUUCUGAUCGUUGUGCUUCAGUUUGAAGGCACCAGAGGAGGAGAACUUUAUCUCUAUCACAGAUCUGGAGAUGAUGUCGUUAUACCUUGUAACAGUCCUUCAUCUUCUUACUCAUGCUCCAUUGUUAAAUGGUUUUACAGCAGAGAUACAAACUCAAGCUCUCUGUUGGAGGUUCAGGAUGGAAAAGUUGUUCAGAGUUCACCUCGAGCUGCCAGGUUAAAUGUGGACAGUAAAUGCUCUCUGAUCAUCAACAACAUCACUGCUGAGGAUGCUGGACGGUACACCUGUCGACCUGGUUCAGGAACCUUUGAUGGCAUUGUGCUUCUGAGUGUUUUGACCAUCUCUCCAUCUCCACCAGGUGCUGAUCCAACAAAGGAUGGAGAUUUCACAUUACAGUGUUCUCUGGAGAGAUACAGUUGGUUUGGUC
Long non-coding RNA from Fundulus heteroclitus (mummichog), 1148 nucleotides. RefSeq lists it as uncharacterized. Lineage: Eukaryota; Metazoa; Chordata; Actinopteri; Cyprinodontiformes; Fundulidae. The transcript has 3 exons. The record is from RefSeq and is a predicted model, not a curated record.